GGGUUGUGAGGUUAAGCGACUAAGCGUACACGGUGGAUGCCCUGGCAGUCAGAGGCGAUGAAGGGCGUGCUAAUCUGCGAUAAGCGCCGGUAAGGUGAUAUGAACCGUUAUAACCGGCGAUACCCGAAUGGGGAAACCCAGUGUGAUUCGUCACACUAUCAUUAACUGAAUCCAUAGGUUAAUGAGGCGAACCGGGGGAACUGAAACAUCUAAGUACCCCGAGGAAAAGAAAUCAACCGAGAUUCCCCCAGUAGCGGCGAGCGAACGGGGAGGAGCCCAGAGCCUGAAUCAGCAUGUGUGUUAGUGGAAGCGUCUGGAAAGGCGCGCGAUACAGGGUGACAGCCCCGUACACAAAAGCGCAUGUGCUGUGAGCUCGAUGAGUAGGGCGGGACACGUGGUAUCCUGUCUGAAUAUGGGGGGACCAUCCUCCAAGGCUAAAUACUCCUGACUGACCGAUAGUGAACCAGUACCGUGAGGGAAAGGCGAAAAGAACCCCGGCGAGGGGAGUGAAAAAGAACCUGAAACCGUGUACGUACAAGCAGUGGGAGCACCCUUUGGGUGUGACUGCGUACCUUUUGUAUAAUGGGUCAGCGACUUAUAUUCUGUAGCAAGGUUAACCGAAUAGGGGAGCCGGAGGGAAACCGAGUCUUAACCGGGCGUUAAGUUGCAGGGUAUAGACCCGAAACCCGGUGAUCUAGCCAUGGGCAGGUUGAAGGUUGGGUAACACUAACUGGAGGACCGAACCGACUAAUGUUGAAAAAUUAGCGGAUGACCUGUGGCUGGGGGUGAAAGGCCAAUCAAACCGGGAGAUAGCUGGUUCUCCCCGAAAGCUAUUUAGGUAGCGCCUCGUGAAUUCAUCUCCGGGGGUAGAGCACUGUUUCGGCUAGGGGGCCAUCCCGGCUUACCAACCCGAUGCAAACUGCGAAUACCGGAGAAUGUUAUCACGGGAGACACACGGCGGGUGCUAACGUCCGUCGUGAAGAGGGAAACAACCCAGACCGCCAGCUAAGGUCCCAAAGUCAUGGUUAAGUGGGAAACGAUGUGGGAAGGCCCAGACAGCCAGGAUGUUGGCUUAGAAGCAGCCAUCAUUUAAAGAAAGCGUAAUAGCUCACUGGUCGAGUCGGCCUGCGCGGAAGAUGUAACGGGGCUAAACCAUGCACCGAAGCUGCGGCAGCGACACUGUGUGUUGUUGGGUAGGGGAGCGUUCUGUAAGCCUGCGAAGGUGGCCUGUGAGGGUUGCUGGAGGUAUCAGAAGUGCGAAUGCUGACAUAAGUAACGAUAAAGCGGGUGAAAAGCCCGCUCGCCGGAAGACCAAGGGUUCCUGUCCAACGUUAAUCGGGGCAGGGUGAGUCGACCCCUAAGGCGAGGCCGAAAGGCGUAGUCGAUGGGAAACGGGUUAAUAUUCCCGUACUUGGUGUUACUGCGAAGGGGGGACGGAGAAGGCUAUGUUGGCCGGGCGACGGUUGUCCCGGUUUAAGCGUGUAGGCUGGUUUUCCAGGCAAAUCCGGAAAAUCAAGGCUGAGGCGUGAUGACGAGGCACUACGGUGCUGAAGCAACAAAUGCCCUGCUUCCAGGAAAAGCCUCUAAGCAUCAGGUAACAUCAAAUCGUACCCCAAACCGACACAGGUGGUCAGGUAGAGAAUACCAAGGCGCUUGAGAGAACUCGGGUGAAGGAACUAGGCAAAAUGGUGCCGUAACUUCGGGAGAAGGCACGCUGACACGUAGGUGAAGUGAUUUACUCAUGGAGCUGAAGUCAGUCGAAGAUACCAGCUGGCUGCAACUGUUUAUUAAAAACACAGCACUGUGCAAACACGAAAGUGGACGUAUACGGUGUGACGCCUGCCCGGUGCCGGAAGGUUAAUUGAUGGGGUCAGCGCAAGCGAAGCUCCUGAUCGAAGCCCCGGUAAACGGCGGCCGUAACUAUAACGGUCCUAAGGUAGCGAAAUUCCUUGUCGGGUAAGUUCCGACCUGCACGAAUGGCGUAAUGAUGGCCAGGCUGUCUCCACCCGAGACUCAGUGAAAUUGAACUCGCUGUGAAGAUGCAGUGUACCCGCGGCAAGACGGAAAGACCCCGUGAACCUUUACUAUAGCUUGACACUGAACAUUGAGCCUUGAUGUGUAGGAUAGGUGGGAGGCUUUGAAGUGUGGACGCCAGUCUGCAUGGAGCCGACCUUGAAAUACCACCCUUUAAUGUUUGAUGUUCUAACGUGGACCCGUUACCCGGGUUGCGGACAGUGUCUGGUGGGUAGUUUGACUGGGGCGGUCUCCUCCUAAAGAGUAACGGAGGAGCACGAAGGUUGGCUAAUCCUGGUCGGACAUCAGGAGGUUAGUGCAAUGGCAUAAGCCAGCUUGACUGCGAGCGUGACGGCGCGAGCAGGUGCGAAAGCAGGUCAUAGUGAUCCGGUGGUUCUGAAUGGAAGGGCCAUCGCUCAACGGAUAAAAGGUACUCCGGGGAUAACAGGCUGAUACCGCCCAAGAGUUCAUAUCGACGGCGGUGUUUGGCACCUCGAUGUCGGCUCAUCACAUCCUGGGGCUGAAGUAGGUCCCAAGGGUAUGGCUGUUCGCCAUUUAAAGUGGUACGCGAGCUGGGUUUAGAACGUCGUGAGACAGUUCGGUCCCUAUCUGCCGUGGGCGCUGGAGAACUGAGGGGGGCUGCUCCUAGUACGAGAGGACCGGAGUGGACGCAUCACUGGUGUUCGGGUUGUCAUGCCAAUGGCACUGCCCGGUAGCUAAAUGCGGAAGAGAUAAGUGCUGAAAGCAUCUAAGCACGAAACUUGCCCCGA
Molecule: ribosomal RNA, 2783 nt
Filed under: Salmonella enterica subsp. enterica serovar Enteritidis
Lineage: Bacteria; Pseudomonadati; Pseudomonadota; Gammaproteobacteria; Enterobacterales; Enterobacteriaceae
Description: partial 23S ribosomal RNA
Rfam family: Bacterial large subunit ribosomal RNA
Source: RNAcentral